RNAcentral lists this ribosomal RNA (448 nucleotides) under uncultured Burkholderia sp. RNAcentral's name for it is "bacterial SSU rRNA". It matches the Rfam family "Bacterial small subunit ribosomal RNA", at positions 194 to 637 of the family's 1533-position model. The record is from RNAcentral. Lineage: Bacteria; Pseudomonadati; Pseudomonadota; Betaproteobacteria; Burkholderiales; Burkholderiaceae.
GGGGGAUCUUAGGACCUCUCGCUACAGGGGCGGCCGAUGGCAGAUUAGCUAGUUGGUGGGGUAAAGGCCUACCAAGGCGACGAUCUGUAGCUGGUCUGAGAGGACGACCAGCCACACUGGGACUGAGACACGGCCCAGACUCCUACGGGAGGCAGCAGUGGGGAAUUUUGGACAAUGGGGGCAACCCUGAUCCAGCAAUGCCGCGUGUGUGAAGAAGGCCUUCGGGUUGUAAAGCACUUUUGUCCGGAAAGAAAACGCUCUGGUUAAUACCCGGGGCGGAUGACGGUACCGGAAGAAUAAGCACCGGCUAACUACGUGCCAGCAGCCGCGGUAAUACGUAGGGUGCAAGCGUUAAUCGGAAUUACUGGGCGUAAAGCGUGCGCAGGCGGUCCGCUAAGACAGAUGUGAAAUCCCCGGGCUUAACCUGGGAACUGCAUUUGUGACUGGC